This 255-nucleotide long non-coding RNA is filed under the name Manihot esculenta (cassava). RNAcentral's name for it is "long non-coding RNA (MESC_LNC006662)". Lineage: Eukaryota; Viridiplantae; Streptophyta; Magnoliopsida; Malpighiales; Euphorbiaceae. The record is from RNAcentral.
AGCCUCUCAAGCCCCGAUCCGGAUGCGCAGGGUAGGCUGGGAUCACUAUGAGGCCGGGUCCACCAUGAGCCCGGGUUCAAUGAGAAGAAAUCCAGCCCAGUGAGAUGAUGUGAGAAAGAAUAGCCGGCCCAGUCACUUUGCAACCGGGUCCGCGUGCGUGCCAGGGGUAGGUAAAAAGGACAGGGGAUCUUCUUCCAGAGGGGGCUCUCUUCUCUCUUCUUUCCUCUCCUUCCUGGUCUCCAUUUUUAUUUUCUC